Molecule: ribosomal RNA, 1752 nt
Filed under: Triticum aestivum (bread wheat)
Lineage: Eukaryota; Viridiplantae; Streptophyta; Magnoliopsida; Poales; Poaceae
Description: partial small subunit ribosomal RNA
Source: RNAcentral
AUGAGAGCGUCGAUGGGGAGAUCGCCGUCCUCGUCCGUGCUCUUCUUGGUGUGGGCUGCUGCUGCCCUGCUGCUGAAUGCUGCUCUCACGGUGCAGUCGGUUCCUUACGACUACUCGUCGAGCUCCGAGUGCUUGGCUGAGCCGCUGGAGGCUCACUACGGCGGCGGCGUGAUCGUGAACUCGGACUUCAGCGCCGGCCUCCAGGGCUGGUCGGCCUUCGGGUACGGCAGCGUCACGGAGGGCGCGUCGCCGACGGGGAACAAGUACGCCGUGGCGGCGAACCGGACGCGGCCGUACCAGAGCGUCAGCCAGAAGGUGUACCUGCAGAACGACACGCACUACACCCUCUCAGCUUGGUUGCAGGUUAGCGACCGGAGCGCCGACGUGAUAGCCGUCGUGAAGACCGCCGACAACUUCAUCCACGCCGGCGGGGUCGACGCCAAGUCCGGCUGCUGGUCCAUCCUCAAAGGCGGUCUCACCCCCGCCGCCUCCGGCCCGGCUGAACUCUACUUCGAGAGCAACUCGACGGUGGCCAUCUGGGUGGACAACGUGUCGCUGCAGCCCUUCUCCAAGGAGGAGUGGAGCUCCCACCGGCACGCGGCCGUGAAGAAGGCCCGGAAGAGGACGGUGCGGCUGCGCGCCAGGGACGCGGCCGGCAACCCGGUGCCGGGCGCGCGGGUGCACGUCCGGCAGGUCCGGAGCGCCUUCCCGCUGGGGUCAGCGAUGAGCCACGAGAUCAUCACCAACGUGAAGUACCAGGAGUGGUUCGCCAAGCGGUUCACGGUGACCACCUUCGAGAACGAGAUGAAGUGGUACAGCACGGAGUGGACGCAGGGGCACGAGGACUACACCGUGCCCGACGCGAUGCUCCGGUUCGCGCACAGCCACGGCAUCGCCGUGCGCGGGCACAACGUCUUCUGGGACGACCCCAACACGCAGCUGGGGUGGGUGAAGGCGCUGAGCGGCGACCAGCUCCGCGCGGCCACCGCCAACCGGAUGAGGUCGGUCAUGUCGCGGUACGCCGGCAAGGUGAUCGCGUGGGACGUGGUGAACGAGAACCUGCACUUCGACUUCUUCGAGGAGAAGUUCGGGGCCGGCGCGUCGGCGGCCUUCUACCAGAAGGCGCACGGCAUGGACGGCAGCGCGCUCAUGUCCAUGAACGACUUCAACACGCUGGAGCAGCCCGGGGACCAGAGCGGCCUCCCCAGCAAGUACCUCAACAAGCUGUCGCAGAUCAAGGACGCGUUCCCCGGCAACGGCAUCGGCGUCCGGAUGGCCAUCGGCCUCGAGGGCCACUUCGGCGCCAACCCCAGCAUCCCCUACGUCCGGGCGGCGCUGGACACCCUGUCGCAGGCCGGCGUGCCCAUCUGGCUCACGGAGAUCGACGUGAAGCCGGGGCCGGACCAGGCGUACCACCUGGAGCAGGUGCUCAGGGAGGUGUACUCGCACCCGGCCGUGCACGGCAUCGUGCUCUGGACGGCGUGGCACCCGCAGGGCUGCUACGUCAUGUGCCUCACCGACGACAACUUCAACAACCUCCCCGUCGGCGACACGGUUGACAAGCUCAUCGCGGAGUGGAAGACGAGCUCGCACGUCGGCGUGGCGGACGCCGACGGCCACUACGAGGCGGAGCUCUUCCACGGGGACUACCAGGUCACCGUCACCCACCCGGCGGCGGCGGCCAACUCCACCGUCGUGCAGAGCCUCAGAGUUGACAGGGAGUCGGACAACGAGUACACCAUACACGUGUAG